This 705-nucleotide unclassified non-coding RNA is filed under the name uncultured Prochlorococcus sp. RNAcentral describes it as "partial 16S-23S ribosomal RNA intergenic spacer; may also contain 16S ribosomal RNA and 23S ribosomal RNA". The stretch from base 331 to 403 matches the Rfam family "tRNA". The record is from RNAcentral. Lineage: Bacteria; Bacillati; Cyanobacteriota; Cyanophyceae; Synechococcales; Prochlorococcaceae.
UUGUGGAGAAGGACGCCGAAGGUGGGGCUGAUGACUGGGGUGAAGUCGUAACAAGGUAGCCGUACCGGAAGGUGCGGCUGGAUCACCUCCUAACAGGGAGACAAAAAAUUGAUUGUGAUGUCUGAGUUUUUCUCUCAGGCCACAUUCCUGACACCUUAGGUCGAUCGGUACCUCACAUUAAUUUAUUUCGAUAUAUUGAUUUCAGUUUCUAAACUUGUCUAGUUCACACUCAACAUUGGUUUCUCCUGGGCCAUUAGCUCAGGUGGUUAGAGCGCACCCCUGAUAAGGGUGAGGUCCCUGGUUCAAGUCCAGGAUGGCCCAUUCGUUGUUGGGGGUAUAGCUCAGUUGGUAGAGCGCCUGCUUUGCAAGCAGGAUGUCAGCGGUUCGAGUCCGCUUACCUCCACCGAAAACUACCUUAAUUAUCCAAUUAUGGAGAGAUUUUAUUAGACGUGACUUAGAUUGUCUAUUUGAAAAGAACCUAGCUUCUUAUCAUCUCAAAUUUAUGUUGAUAUGAUGCUGGGCUCACUUGGAUCUCCAAGUGUUUCAGUAGAACCUUGACAACUGCAUAGACAGAAAGAAUAAAGCAUCUCAUGGAUGCAUAAUUCUUUAAUUAAAUCUUUUUGAUUUGAUUAGUGAAUUCAUGUUUAUUCUUGAGUAAAAGCCGAGCACAAUUAAUUUUGUGAUUGUAUUAAGGUCAAGCUACAA